AAACCCGAAAGCUACCUUUAUAACUACCCUGUUACGGCGUAGCGUUUGAUAGCCCCUAAGUAGGUCGAUCCACAUCUAGAAUACAUGCGACAAUCUCAGGUCUAAGGACAAAGCGUAUAUGUUGUUUAAAGAGAGAACUACUUCUCGUGUUGGGUCAGUCCUAACACAUGUCUCCACAUGUGUCCACAUUAUUAGUUCAACAUCUCCAUGUCCAUGACUUGUGAAACAUAGUCAUCAACUAAUACAUGUGCUAGUCUAAUAUUCAUGUGUGUCCUCACAUGAACUCCGACUAGGGACAACUUUAGAAUAACCAUACAAGUAAAGAGUUUCACAUACAAUUCACAUAAUUGCAAAUCAAUUCAAGUAGCCUUUAAUGGAUAUUCAAUGAACACAAUAUACAUAUCAUGGAUACAAAUGGAAUAUCAUCAUCUCUAUGAUUGCCUCUAGGGCAUACCUCCAACAAUUUUUUCCUCCGACGCCUCCCCUCCCAUCCUCGUCCAGUCCGCCUCCUCUCGUCGAGCCCAAACCUCCUCCCCAUCCUCCUCCAGUCAUCCUCCGCCAAGAUCCACACACCUCCCCCUAGAUCCGGUUGCCUCCCAAGUCCCCGCCGCUCCCCAUCUGCAAUGCCCGGGUCAAUGAGGGAGUACCAUCACGACGCUAGGGGUUGUUUUGCCUGGGGCAACAAGCUCAUAAAGUUGGAGACGCCGUCGAAGGCCCACACCGCGGGAGGUUGGGGCCGCCGUGGCGACGCUUCUUCCUCACGUCGUCAACA
This 772-nucleotide long non-coding RNA is filed under the name Setaria viridis. RNAcentral describes it as "long non-coding RNA (SVIR_LNC006509)". Lineage: Eukaryota; Viridiplantae; Streptophyta; Magnoliopsida; Poales; Poaceae. The record is from RNAcentral.